CUAAACAGCCAUGUCACCCUGCAGCCCAGGACUGGUUACUCAUUGAAGCUAAGCAGAGCUGAGCCUGGUCAGAACCUUGAUGAAAGAGACCACAUGGGAAAACUAGGUUGCUGCUGGAA
RNAcentral lists this ribosomal RNA (119 nucleotides) under Danio rerio (zebrafish). Lineage: Eukaryota; Metazoa; Chordata; Actinopteri; Cypriniformes; Danionidae. The record is from RNAcentral.